GCUGGAGCGGGGAGGCCAUGAGACAGCAGAGCGCUGGUAAACACCAUGCAGAAAAGCCGUAUUGUGGGGUUACAAAGUCUGGGCUGUUUAAGGAGCUCUGUCAUUCCUUUUAAUGGAGCUCACUGACGCAGAUCUGGGUUCUGCCAGCCGAGGAAAUAUUGCUGCUGAGAAAAGGGUUAUUGAAACCCACAAACUAAAUAUUAUGAACAAGAAUCAAAUGGCAGGACAUUCUGGAGUGUAAUCCCUCCUGAUUUCAGGAGAAGGGAAACGUAUUGGCACGGAAUGAAGCUCCCUCCAGUCACCUGCUGCAAGACACAUUCAGCUUCCUAACCUUAAGGAUGAGACCCUAUCAAUAUUGCCUCUGCUUUUGUGAUCAGGGUAGUAGUGCAAUAUUGCUUAUAGGGUCUUUUCUUUUGAGGGUUAUUCUUCAUGGAAAGAAGAAAGCCACAGCAGGACAAAAUAAUCCCAUAUGCCCAACAAGUUAAGGGAGAAGUUGUGAAAUGCUGAGUGUGGUUAGAUAGGCGAGUAAUUGCACAGAGAUGUUAUUUGUGACAAAUAAUCGUGCUAUUCUGGUGACUCAGGUCGUGAGUAAUGGGCAUAUUUUUGAUGCUAUCACACAGGAUUCAAAACGGCUUCGUGUUUAAAACACAAGCAGUGAUUGAAACCAGAGAAACCCAUCAUGGUUCCUUUCUAAAAUAGUAUGAGUUCUGAGACGUUUGAAGGGUGUCUAUAUUACACACUGAUGUAAACACCCACCGAAGGAUGGGAGGAGAUACAUAGCCAUACUUGCUGUUUCUGUGCCUGAUCCCAGCCCGAAAACCAGUGUAGUGCAAAGCAGAGCACAGCACAAAGAGGCCGAGGCUCUAAUCCCAAUAACCUCGGCGAAACAAAGCUCAUGCCUGUGCCCGGCGAGUGCGGCCCGCCGGCUCCGCCGCCGUGCCCCGAACACCCGGGGCUAUUCCAGGGUCGGGCGGCGCAGCGGGGCCGGGCACUGCCUCCAGCCCUUCCCGAGAGCUGCUCUCUGAGGUACGUGGGAACGAAGCAGGGAUGGGGGUGUUAAAUCUCCUCUCCGCUUUGUGAGGAUCAGCUGGGGGCUGACAGCAGCCGGGAUGGCCGAGUGGGUGGCCCUGCCUUCCAUUUCAGGUGGUCCCCGCGGUCCCUUUCGGGACCUCAGGGGCCCAGGGAAAGGGGUGGUGGGAGGGGACUGAGGGCCGGAUCAGGGCGCGGCGGAGCUGCCGCGGGGCCGCUGCCGCGCGUCUCCCCGGGGCGGCGGGGCUCGGGCAGGGUCCGGGACACAGCACGGGGCCGUGCCCGCUGCCUCCCCCUUGUACGGCUGCCGCUACCCUCGGUUUAACUCCCCUCCCACCCCGAGCUGCCCCCUAGCAUCAUUCCAAUGGGAGGCGGCCAGCUCGGGGACAAAGCCAGGAUCUUCCCACCCCACUCGGGCUCGGCCCCUGUGCCCCCAGCCCGGCAGCCGCCGCAGCUGCUGUGCCAGCGCUGGGACCACCGGCCGGGCUGCCCCUCUUUCCCUGUUGCACUACUGUCACGGUCGCAGCGAGCAGUGCAAUAAUGAAAGGGCGUCAGUGCGCCGGGGAGCGGCGAGAGCCGGCGACGAGCCGGUGACAGCGCGCGGGGACGGGGACGUCCCGCCGCACCCGAGAGCCACCUUAACGGGGCGGAGGGGAUACACACGACACUGACGGACGGACUUUGGUUGUGCAACUUUCUUUGUUUAAACACGCAGCGGCGGAGAGCGUGCGCGCAGGGGCAGGACAAGGUGAGCGGCUCCGCGCACCGCUUGCCCCGGGCCCGCCACCGCUCCCCGCCCCGCCGGCCCCGGGGCAGCUCCUCUGCUGUACCCGGCCAACACCGAAUAAAUAAAAGUGACCCCCGAGUCCCCUGUCCCUGCCUUUUCUUCCCGGGGGGUUUCUUGCAGGUCAGCAGCCCCUCCUGCCUCCCUGGCAGCCCCUCGCAGAUACAAAUCCCCUCGACGAGUUUUUGCCCUGCGAUCCGGUGUGCUGCUCACCCGUUUGGUCUUGUGGGGAGAGGCCGAAAAUGCGAAUAGGAAACGAGCGUCUUCCUUCACUGCGGAGCCUGAAAAACUCCAGUCGUGCCCUAGUGCUGGGUUCAGCCAUGGGAGAGCACGGGUAGGGAAGUGAGUGUGGGGCGGGAGGGGAAGGGUUUGCAAUAAUGAAGAUGAGAACAGUGCUUUGCAUCUGGGAAGGCCAGGAAAUAGCCCUUUGAUUAUUAGUGGUCAUGGUGAAAUGGAUACUUCUAUAAAAGAGGGCUGGGGAGGGGUAUUUCCUUAGCAAAGGACCUUCCUGCACUGGCCUUUUGAACCUGUGCUUCUCCCUGGCACUAUUUCUGCUUCAUCAUGACUUUUUGCAGAGGAAGGUGAGUGCAGAAAACAGGCUGGCUGUCAGAGAGGGAUGCAAUCUAAUCCUGAUGAAAAGGCUUUUACAGUCUAUGCUUAAUUUCCUAUUUCUUUUGGGUUCUCUCUAUCUUCCAUCCCUCACAUGCACAAGCAGAUACAAAAGCUGAAUCCUUCCCUGCAGUCUUUCUCCCAGGGAAAAGUCAGCCCCCUCCCCAGCUUCACCUUCAGGCUUUGCGCACACAAAAUGGCUGCAGCAGCCUGUGGGUGGGCAUGGAGAGCUCAGGAAGCUGCUUUUCUUUUUCCCACCCUGCCUGCCCAGGAAGCCCUUCUGCUUUUAUUUUCUGUGGCAUUUUGCUCUUGCAUAGCUCUGUGCAAAUCCAAGGGGGUCUCCAAUGUGUAAUCUAUGCAUGGAAUGGGAGCUGGGGAGGGAAAUGGCCAGUUUGCAUGAGAAGGGGACCUGUCGGGCCCCAGUGUUUAUUUUUUUGCUGACCUUCUGGGGAUAUGGUCAGUGAGAGCUGUGACAGCUGCUGGAAGCGGCAGGGGCUUUGAAGAUUGUGAAGGUUGUGACCUCGAGGCCCCUUUCCUCUCUCUGUCCCAGGAGCUGCUGAGUCAAUCAGGGAAAAGGGGAGGUGAAAUGGGGGCUGCUCUUUAGCCAUUUUUCAAUCGGUGAAUGAAACAGGAAAGGACAAAUGCAAGAAGAAAAAAGAGCGAUUACUUCCACUUUGGUGCAUUACUGAGAAGGGGGAAUCUCUCUUUGGCAAAAGAUUAUAACAAUAAUGGGAAACCACUGUGCUCCUAAGAUCCAGCACCUUGAAUAAAGGAUUUAACUGGGCAAGGAGCUGAUGGCAGAUCAAUAACAGUAAAUUAGGGGGAAAGCCUACAAAGUCCUCUUGGUUCAAAGCAAGAGGAAAUCCACCUCUUGUUUCCACCAGAUACCAGCUCUAGAUGUAGCAGCAGUAACAUUCCCGGUUGUCCCACUAGCUCCCACCAUCUCCUUGACCCUACACUAACACAUCUUCAUCUUUGCUGAGCUCAGCUGAACCCUGUGGCUGAGAUUGCAGAGGCCGCUGACAACGGCUGCACCGCACAUGCCAAAAUAA
Long non-coding RNA from Passer montanus (Eurasian tree sparrow), 3474 nucleotides. RefSeq lists it as uncharacterized. NCBI's taxonomy places the organism in Eukaryota, Metazoa, Chordata, Aves, Passeriformes, Passeridae. The record is from RefSeq and is a predicted model, not a curated record. The transcript has 3 exons.